Molecule: ribosomal RNA, 270 nt
Filed under: uncultured bacterium
Lineage: Bacteria
Description: partial 16S ribosomal RNA
Rfam family: Bacterial small subunit ribosomal RNA
Source: RNAcentral
UACGAAGGGUGCAAGCGUUACUCGGAAUUACUGGGCGUAAAGCGUGCGUAGGUGGUGAGUUAAGUCUGUCGUGAAAGCCCCGGGCUCAACCUGGGAAUGGCGAUGGAUACUGGCUCGCUAGAGUGCGGUAGAGGAGAGUGGAAUUCCCGGUGUAGCAGUGAAAUGCGUAGAGAUCGGGAGGAACAUCAGUUGCGAAGGCGGCGACCUGGUCCGAUACUGACGCUGAGGCGCGAAAGCGUGGGGAGCAAACAGGGAUUAGAAACCCCCUGU